CAUGCAAGUCGAACGGCAGCGGGGGCUUCGGCCUGCCGGCGAGUGGCGAACGGGUGAGUAAUGCAUCGGAACGUGCCCAGUCAUGGGGGAUAACUACGCGAAAGCGUAGCUAAUACCGCAUACGCCCUGAGGGGGAAAGCGGGGGAUCGCAAGACCUCGCGUGAUUGGAGCGGCCGAUGUCGGAUUAGCUAGUUGGUGGGGUAAAGGCCUACCAAGGCGACGAUCCGUAGCGGGUCUGAGAGGAUGAUCCGCCACACUGGGACUGAGACACGGCCCAGACUCCUACGGGAGGCAGCAGUGGGGAAUUUUGGACAAUGGGGGCAACCCUGAUCCAGCCAUGCCGCGUGAGUGAAGAAGGCCUU
RNAcentral lists this ribosomal RNA (362 nucleotides) under uncultured bacterium. RNAcentral's name for it is "bacterial SSU rRNA". It matches the Rfam family "Bacterial small subunit ribosomal RNA", at positions 54 to 418 of the family's 1533-position model. The record is from RNAcentral.